UUGAUUAGGAAAUGUGUUUAAUUUUAUUAAAAUAAAGAAAAUUUAAAGCGAACUACGAAAAAUAAUGCGCAAUAUGUUUGUCGUUUUCGGACACGAAACUGUGACAUUAUCGAUAGUGUGUGAGCUUAGUCGAUAGUUUUGAGUGCGAUAGCUCGGUCUGCAGAUUUGAUGCCAUUUGCUUUCAUUUACGAAAUUUCCAUUGGAUAUCCAUUCGGUCGGGAAAGGACUUUGGGUACCGAAAAAUAACUACAUAUAUUAACCCAAGGAAGAGAUUCUACUUUCUUGUGGAGCUUGCCAGGCCUAUAAACACAUUCAGCGGGGUGGACGCCAAGGAUAAGGGCUCUGGCGUUGUAAAGCAACCCCCGUCUUUGCGAUUGCCAGCGUUGCCGUUGCGGCGAGUUGCCCAGCGGACUAUCUGCAUUGCCUAGCGCUGAUAUGAGUGCUGCCAAGAAGUAUAAGCCCGUGGACACUACAGAGCUGCAUGAAAACAGUGAAAACAUUGCAGCUUGUCUGAAAAAGGCCGAAAACGAAAACGUUUCCACUGCUACCUCCCCUUUAAGUUUGGGACGAAGUGCAUUUGCCGCACAAAAUAUGAAUUCCUCCGCAUCGACUAACGGCGAGCGCUUGCCAAAUUUCUCCAAGUUGCAUGGCAAUGAAAUACGAUCGUCUUCAACUACCUCAAAUCUCUUGAAUCGCAUGGGAGCUAUUCAUAACAGCAAGCCGGGCGACGUCAAGAAGAUUGUGAUUAAGAAUUUCAAGGCUAAGCCUAUACUGCCCGAUAACUAUUCCGAAGAAACUUACGUGAAACUGGAGGAAGCUGUCAUCGCCAUUCAACUAUCGAAACCUAUUAAAUAUUCUCUGGAAGAGCUCUAUCAAGCCGUCGUAAAUAUGUGUAGUCAUAAAAUGGAUGCCCAAUUGUAUGCCAAACUGAAGGAGCUAACUGAACAGCACGUCAAACGGAACAUCAAACUAAAAGAACUCACUGGCGGGAGCAUGGACAAAUUGGUACUUCUGGAGAAAAUAAAUAACUGGUGGCUCUCAUUCUGCCAGCAAAUGAUCAUGAUACGUAGCAUAUUUUUAUACAUGGAUCGCACCUAUGUCUUGCAAAACUCAGCAAUACACUCGAUCUGGGAUAUGGGGCUCGACCUUUUUCGCAUUCAUUUUGCUCAGAAUAGUGUUGUCCAGAAGCGAACUGUCGACGGACUGCUCGCUCUUAUCGAGAAAGAGCGGCAAGGUUCCACUGUGGAUCGCGGUCUCCUGAAAAGUUUGGUUCGUAUGUUAUGCGAUCUACAGAUUUACACAUUGUCCUUCGAGGAAAAGUUUUUGGAUGCAACCAAUCAACUGUACAAGGCUGAAAGUCAACGCAAAAUGCAAGAAUUGGAGGUGCCCGAAUAUUUGCAACAUGUUAAUAAACGUUUAUCUGAGGAAAAUGAACGGCUACUCCAUUAUCUGGACUCAAGCACAAAGCAUCCUUUAAUAUACAAUGUGGAAAAGGAGCUUUUGGCCGAACAUUUGACCACAAUACUGCAAAAGGGCUUGGAUUCACUGCUAGAAGACAAUCGACUGAAUGAUUUAACCUUGCUGUAUGGCCUGCUUAGCAGGGUAAAAAAUGGAACUUCCGAACUUUGCGGAAACUUUAAUGGCUACAUUAAGAAAAAGGGCCGCACUAUUGUUAUUGAUCCCGAGAAGGACAAAAGUAUGGUGCAAGAUCUUCUUGAUUUUAAGGAUAAAAUGGAUAUCAUUGUCCGCAAUUGUUUUGACCAUAAUGAAAAGUUUACGAAUUCUCUGAGGGAAGCAUUCGAGUUCUUUAUUAAUCAGCGGGCUAAUAAACCGGCCGAACUUAUAGCUAAAUAUGUGGACAUGAAACUACGUUCAGGCAAUAAGGGUACCACCGAUGAGGAAUUGGAAAAAACGCUAGACAAAAUUAUGGUUUUGUUCCGUUUCAUUCACGGGAAAGAUGUCUUUGAAGCAUUUUAUAAAAAAGAUUUGGCAAAGCGUUUGCUUGUCGGCAAAUCGGCAUCUGUUGAUUCGGAGAAAAGUAUGCUAUCAAAACUAAAACAAGAGUGUGGCGGUGGAUUUACCUCUAAAUUGGAAGGCAUGUUCAAGGAUAUGGAACUGAGUAGAGAUAUUAACACAGCUUUUCGUGGCCAUGCUCUAAGCAAUAAUCGAGACGUCCAUAAUCUUGAUUUGUGCGUUAGCAUAUUGACCAUGGGUAAUUGGCCCACAUAUCCACCCACAGAGGUGACCAUGCCGCCUCAAUUCAUUAACCCGCAGCAGAUAUUCAAUAAGUUUUAUUUGGAGAAGCACAGCGGCAGAAAAUUGCAGUGGCAGCCCACACUUGGCAACUGUAUGCUAAGGGCCCAGUUUGAUGCGGGCCCCAAGGAGUUAAUGGUAUCCCUGUUUCAGGCAUUGGUUCUGCUUUUGUUUAAUGAUAAGCCUACCCUUGGAUAUGAGGAGAUUUUGGCCGCUACCAGCAUUGAGGAUGGUGAACUAAGACGAACAUUACAGUCCUUGGCCUGCGGACGGGCUCGGGUUAUAACAAAAACGCCCAAGGGUCGGGAUAUUGAAGAUGGGGAUCAGUUUGAUUUUAACAACGAGUUCACAAACAAACUGUUUCGCAUCAAAAUUAAUCAAAUUCAAAUGAAGGAGACGAACGAGGAGCAAAAGGCCACUGAGGAACGCGUUUUCCAGGAUCGGCAAUAUCAAAUCGAUGCGGCCAUUGUGCGGAUCAUGAAAAUGCGUAAGACGCUAAGCCACAACCUGCUUAUCACAGAGCUAUUUAAUCAGCUAACUUUUCCCGUCAAGCCUGCUGAUUUAAAGAAACGAAUCGAGUCUCUUAUCGAUCGGGACUACAUGGAGCGGGAUAAGGAUAAUCAAAAUCAAUACAACUAUGUGGCCUAAGUCCAAAAUUGUAGCUUCGAUUAUUAUCCUACAAAAAUGCAAAACCGAGUCCAACGAACUGGUAUGGUUGCGUGUAUGUGUCAGAUGAAUGAAAUAUGAAUAGUAUAAUACUGAUGUUGUAGUCCUAGUUGCUACGGUUGAUUUCAUUAUUAGAAAUACGGAGAACUUGACCUCGAGUACUUGUACUCAAUUCGCUUAUUCGCAUUUACUGCCGAUGACUCUUCAUUACUUGUUUUCUUAAGGCACUUUUUUAAUUAACAAAGAAUAGAAGAGAACAGUUGAAUAUUGAAGGUUCAUUCUUUAUCCAAAUCUUGGAAUAAAAUACAGCGAUUUGUAUUAACUAUAUAGUAGCAUUUUAAUCAGAAUCAAAGUUAAUUACAAUUGAACCCCGACGUACACAUUGUCGGUUGCCCGUUUUGCACAAUUUCUUUAAUUUUUAUAGGAGCAUUAAGCAAAGUACUGAAGAUAGCAAUGAAAGUUAGAUUUAUUACAAUAUAAUUAUUUACAACUAAUAAAUAAUAGAUACAAAUAUGUUAA
This is an RNA transcript of Drosophila willistoni, 3438 nucleotides long. It is a transcript of the gene named cullin-4A, with no coding region annotated. Lineage: Eukaryota; Metazoa; Arthropoda; Insecta; Diptera; Drosophilidae. The record is from RefSeq and is a predicted model, not a curated record. The transcript is spliced from 11 exons.